Molecule: signal recognition particle RNA, 227 nt
Filed under: bovine gut metagenome
Description: Bacterial large signal recognition particle RNA
Rfam family: Bacterial large signal recognition particle RNA
About the family: The signal recognition particle (SRP) is a universally conserved ribonucleoprotein involved in the co-translational targeting of proteins to membranes.
Source: RNAcentral
CGUACUAGGCGGGGCGCUAGCGGUGCCCUGUAACCCACAAUCCGCUUUAGGUGGGGCUGAAUACCAAUCUAGAUAGUCUGGCUUUUAUCUUUGUGAUAAGCUAGUAUUGUUGAGCGUCUUGGUCUUGUGCAAUAUUGCGCUAUAAACCGUGUCAGGGCAGGAAUGCAGCAGCACUAAGUAGUUGUUAAUAUGUGCCACAAGGUAGCCUUGCGGGAGAUAUUAGUUUA